RNAcentral lists this long non-coding RNA (536 nucleotides) under Physcomitrium patens. Its description in RNAcentral is "long non-coding RNA (PPAT_LNC000339)". Lineage: Eukaryota; Viridiplantae; Streptophyta; Bryopsida; Funariales; Funariaceae. The record is from RNAcentral.
UUUCAGUACCCUCUGUAAUUCAUGAACACACAAAUAUAUCCCAAAUCCUAGAACAAAAAACUUUCAAUCUACAGAAUCUGAUCUAGACAAUUCCUUUGAUUACAAUUCCUCUCUAUUGAACUUACAACCUUGCGAUAAACAGUGACUAGAAACUUCCAUACGUCUUCAAUCUUUCACAGCAAUUGAUAAAUAGUGAUCCAUAAAUAACUUCGUAAAUCAAACAUUAAUUCAUUAAAUUGAUUCUCUUCACUAGAAUCAAUACUAACACAAAAGAAACAAGAAAACUAAGAAGAAGAGAUAGCACCAAACUUAUCUUCAGCUUAGUACUAUCGCAGUUUGGCAUUUUCUUCCCCUCUCCCAUCCUCCUUAUACUACCCCGAGAUACCAACUCCUAUACUAUAGAUGAUAACUACUUUUCCUGACUAUUCAUCCAUUCUACCUGCUGAACCACCUUUUCAGCAAUUAUCUAUCCCUGUUUACACUAUAUACUAGGUAUCUACAUUUUGAAAAUAACUACUUAUUCUACAUAGCCCCAC